AUACGGAGGGUGCAAGCGUUGUCCGGAAUCAUUGGGCGUAAAGCGUUCGUAGGCGGCAUAUCAAGUCUGGUGUCAAAGCCUGGGGCUCAACCCCAGUUAGGCACUGGAUACUGGUAGGCUAGAAUGUGGUAGAGGUAAAGGGAAUUCCUGGUGUAGCGGUGAAAUGCGUAGAUAUCAGGAGGAACACCGGUGGCGUAAGCGCUUUACUGGGCCAUAAUUGACGCUGAGGAACGAAAGCCGGGGGAGCAAAUGGGAUUAGAUACCCCAGUAGUCCCGGCCGUAAACGAUGGAUACUAGGUGUUGCGGGUAUCGACCCCUGCAGUGCCGUAGCUAACGCGAUAAGUAUCCCGCCUGGGGAGUACGCACGCAAGUGUGA
Molecule: ribosomal RNA, 376 nt
Filed under: uncultured bacterium
Lineage: Bacteria
Description: bacterial SSU rRNA
Rfam family: Bacterial small subunit ribosomal RNA
Source: RNAcentral